GAUGAACGCUGGCGGCGUGCCUAAUACAUGCAAGUCGAGCGAAAAGACGAGGCGCUUGCUCCUCUGACGUUAGCGGCGGACGGGUGAGUAACACGUGGAUAACCUACCUAUAAGACUGGGAUCACUUCGGGAAACCGGAGCUAAUACCGGAUAAUAUAUUGAACCGCAUGGUUCAAUAGUGAAAGACGGCUUUGCUGUCACUUCUAGCUGGAUCCGCGCUGCAUUAGCUAGUUGGUAAGGUAACGGCUUACCAAGGCAACGAUGCGUAGCCGACCGGAGAGAGUGGUCGGCCGCACUGGAGCGGAGACGCGGUCCAUGCGCCUACGGGAGGCAGCAGUAGGCAAUCUUCCGCAGUGGUCGAAAGCCUGACGGAGCAACGCCGCGUGAGUGGUGAAGAUCUUCGGAGCGUAAAACUCGGUUAUGAGUUAAGAACAAAUGUGUAAGUAACUAUGCACGUCUUGACGGUACCUAAUCAGAAAGCCACGGCUAACUACGUG
Molecule: ribosomal RNA, 497 nt
Filed under: uncultured bacterium
Lineage: Bacteria
Description: partial 16S ribosomal RNA
Rfam family: Bacterial small subunit ribosomal RNA
Source: RNAcentral